This 547-nucleotide ribosomal RNA is filed under the name uncultured bacterium. RNAcentral describes it as "bacterial SSU rRNA". It matches the Rfam family "Bacterial small subunit ribosomal RNA", at positions 355 to 896 of the family's 1533-position model. The record is from RNAcentral.
UAGGGAAUUUUUCACAAUGAGCGAAAGCUUGAUGGAGCAAUGCCGCGUGAACGAUGAAGGUCUUUAAGAUUGUAAAGUUCUUUUAUUUGGGAAGAAUGACUUUAGCAGGUAAUGGCUAGAGUUUGACUGUACCAUUUUGAAUAAGUGACGACUAACUAUGUGCCAGCAGUCGCGGUAAUACAUAGGUCGCAAGCGUUAUCCGGAUUUAUUGGGCGUAAAGCAAGCGCAGGCGGAUUGAAAAGUCUGGUGUUAAAGGCAGCUGCUUAACAGUUGUAUGCAUUGAAAACUAUUAAUCUAGAGUGUGGUAGGGAGUUUUGGAAUUUCAUGUGGAGCGGUGAAAUGCGUAGAUAUAUGAAGGAACACCAGUGGCGAAGGCGAAGACUUAGGCCAUUACUGACGCUUAGGCUUGAAAGUGUGGGGAGCAAAUAGGAUUAGAUACCCUAGUAGUCCACACCGUAAACGAUAGAUACUAGCUGUCGGGGCGAUCCCCUCGGUAGUGAAGUUAACACAUUAAGUAUCUCGCCUGGGUAGUACAUUCGCAAGAAUG